Molecule: long non-coding RNA, 2120 nt
Organism: Bombus pyrosoma
Lineage: Eukaryota; Metazoa; Arthropoda; Insecta; Hymenoptera; Apidae
Exons: 3
Source: RefSeq, a predicted model, not a curated record
CUUGGACGCACAUUUUAUCCGUGAAGUAGUCUGUAAUAAGAUGGACGUUCGUUGAAAGGAAUAUUUAAUAUUGGCUCGAGACGAACAUUGACUAUACUUCACAGGAUUGGUAAUUGAAUCUACACAAAAUACAGAAACAUAGAGGAAAUUAGAGGCGCUCAUGCUCACGUCCGGAACGAGAGUUAUCCCCCAGAGCUUUACAAGUGCUACACCAGGCAACCAGGUGCUGCAAAAGAAAGGGAUUUACUCUGGUUCCACUAUCGACGAAACACUUCAUCGGCGGUUCCACUCUAGCAUAAGAAGUAUGUACGCCAAGUACUAAAUCAAAUGAUAACCAUUUAAUUACCAAAGUUAGGUUAUGUAGUAAUCUUACUUUAUACCCAGCCGGUAAUAUCGCAUGUGGUAUGAAAAUGUUAAGAAAUUUAAAACAAAAAAACCAAGUCGGGUAAGAAAAAGCAUCACAUCUCAGAUCUAUUCUAUGUUUCGUCUAUGAUUAUAGUAUCUAUUUGUAUGAAAAUUUGUUGGCUCAAGGUCAGAUUAUACUAGGUUAGUAUCUUUCACCAUGUGCAUAUUCGUUAUCAAUGCUAAUUAUUGCUAAUAUAUCAAACUUUAUGUAUGAGCUAAUAUAUAAUUUACUACUUGUAUUCGUUAAAGCAAAACAAUAAAUCAAGUUCGUUUUUGAUCUAAUCGUCAUAAAGCACAAUUUACAAUAUGUAUCGAGGCCAAGGUGAUCAAGUCUUGACAAACAAAAUAUCGACAUAAGAUCAGUAAGUGCAUAACACGCCCACGUGUGAAAAGGAUAAUAUCGAAAUAAGCUGGAAUGCUUCAUUUGGACAUGUUAUUUCAUAGUUUUUGUUUGGAGUUGGUAUUAGCAAAUUAGUUUGAAAAAUUUCGGCGGCAAAAGUGUGGUGACGGACAUGUUCAUCGUAGUUACACGUAACUUACUUUCGUCAAAUACAAUCGACAUUUGAAUUUAGAAAAUUGUUGAAAACGGGUGAGAAUCAGUGAAGCAUCUACCAUUAUGGUGGAAUUAUCGAAACUUGCUUUGGAUAUUGCAGUUCCUUCGAAAGUUCUCGCACGUCGUGGCGGAGUUACUAUUUCAGAAGAUAUCGUGACGUUCCUUCAAGUAAGUCAAUUGUUUUUUUCGACUUUUUAUCCUGUUUUUAUAUUUUUAAUUGAAGAAUAAAUAUGUCAUUCAUAACACACCAGACGUACAAAAAUCUACUUUCAAAUCAGUGAUUUAUUGAGAUGAAAUCAUGAGUAGUUUUAUAUUUACAUUUUAUGAUGUAAAUAUAAAUUAUAUUAUAUUAUAAAUCUUUAUUAUAGAAAACGAAAUAUGACAAAUACUACUAUUAAUUAUAGAAUUUACGUUCCAAAAAUUAAUUUCAACAUGUUGUUUGAUUUCGUAGCGAAAUUCCACUGAAAUGAUAGCUUUAUUAAAAGAUGUAAAAAUUAAAGUACGUAAAGAUAAUGAAUGAAAUUGUCGGUACUAUAAAAGACAAAAUACAUGACAAGAACACGUAACUUUUCUUAUGUGAUCGAUCCAUAAAGUUCGUAAGUAACUAAAUAUUUAUGUAGAAUGUAACGUCAAAUAUAAUUUAUGAUAAAAGAAGUCCCGUUUCAUAGUCUUUGUAUUAUGCACACUGAAUAAUGUUCGCGAUACGUCUGGCUCCAAAGGAACGUUUCUAUUGAACGUAUACGAUCUAUCAUGUGCAUAAACAUUAGGCAAUCCUCGUGUUAAAAUUAACUCGGCUCAUUUGUCGAUGGAUAACUAGAAUAGCAACAACAAUUUAAAACAAUCUCAAAGUUAUAUCUUUCGUUAAAUAUGAAGACGGAAAUUAAAUCUAAUUUCAAGUUUCCUUUUUCCUCUUAUAAUAAUUGGAUCAUAGAUAUUUAAUGCAAAUUCAUAUAUUUAUGACCAUGUAAUUAGAAGACUACAGAAUUUGUUUAAACAUUACAAAACAGAGAUUUAUUUUAAAAAUACGCCGAAUAUUAGGUCAAUAUUAUAAACGCGAUUUUAGAAUCAUAAUCGUUAAAAAGAUUUUGAUGUGAUAUAUAAUAUAACGGGCAUUAAAUAAAUAUUACUUCCUUUGAAUUUUGUGAAUUAAAUUCUCGGCAAU